This 903-nucleotide long non-coding RNA is filed under the name Cucumis sativus (cucumber). Its description in RNAcentral is "long non-coding RNA (CSAT_LNC001665)". Lineage: Eukaryota; Viridiplantae; Streptophyta; Magnoliopsida; Cucurbitales; Cucurbitaceae. The record is from RNAcentral.
AAUAGCAAAAUCUAAAUGAUCAUUUUCCAAAUAUAAACUAUAAACGAUCAUUUUUCAAAUAUAAACUAUAAACGAUCAUUUUUCAAAUAUAUUACUUGGAUUUCAAUUACUAUAUAACCCAAAAUAUUUAAGUAUAACACUCAUGACACGUCUAAAAGAAGACUACGACUCUAUAAAAGAAGACUACGACCCGAAUUUAUGGCUUAAGGAAGAGAGGAGAACACUUAUGUAACACUCAUGUAACACUCAUGAGAUGUCUAAAAGAAGACUACGACUCGGAUUCGGCUUCGGCUUGCUUGUGUGUGCUGGUCGGAGGAUGUAGGUGUGUGGCUUGCGAAGGAGAAAAAUGCCCGGCUCGGACUUGAAGGAAAACACGUUACGACUCACACAUGCGGGUCGUGCAGACAUGAACGACUCGACGGAGGACUCGUCUGGACGAAGUAUGCUCGCAUGACAACGUGCAGUAGCGUUCGGUGUUGCAGGGAAGAAAGGAUGCACGAAGAGAAAUGGGUUUUCAAACAAUGGAGAAAGACUCUGCUCGACUAACGAAACCCUCGGCUUCGACUUCAGGCGACGAGGUGAUCGAAGAUAGAGACGAAGUCGUCGGCAACAGAGACGUGCGGCGGCCCUAGGGCGCUUUCUCAAAAGGAAGAAGGAGAUGAAUAGUGGUGUCUAACGCUUCACGAUGCCCUCUAAUUAAUAUAUAAUAAUAUUAAUAAUAUUAUUAUAUCUUUUCUUUAAUUUAUUUCCAUUUCCUUUUUACUUUUCAAAAACAAAACUCAAUAUCUUCUCUCUCCUCAUUGCCUCUUAAUCCAAACAUAAAAUCUUAAUAAUUAUGUUAUCCUUAAUAUAAUAUAAUUAUUAUCCUCUUUCAUAAUUUAAUAUAUAAUUAACCAAUAUUAA